RNAcentral lists this ribosomal RNA (393 nucleotides) under uncultured bacterium. Its description in RNAcentral is "bacterial SSU rRNA". It matches the Rfam family "Bacterial small subunit ribosomal RNA", at positions 28 to 424 of the family's 1533-position model. The record is from RNAcentral.
GACGAACGCUGGCGGCGUGCUUAACACAUGCAAGUCGAGCGGUAAGGCCCUUUCGGGGGUACACGAGCGGCGAACGGGUGAGUAACACGUGGGUGACCUGCCUUUAGCUCUGGGAUAAGCCUGGGAAACCGGGUCUAAUACCGGAUAUGACUCCGCGGCGCAUGUUGUGGGGUGGAAAGCCUUGUGCGGCUGAGGAUGGGCCCGCGGCCUAUCAGCUUGUUGGUGGGGUGANGGCCUACCAAGGCGACGACGGGUAGCCGGCCUGAGAGGGCGACCGGCCACACUGGGACUGAGACACGGCCCAGACUCCUACGGGAGGCAGCAGUGGGGAAUCUUGCGCAAUGGGCGAAAGCCUGACGCAGCGACGCCGCGUGAGGGAUGACGGCCUCGGUU